GUGUCAGCAGCCGCGGUAAGACGAACCGUGCGAACGUUGUUCGGAAUCACUGGGCAUAAAGGGCGCGUAGGCGGCUUUUCAAGUCAGGGGUGAAAUCCGGCAGCUCAACUGUCGAAGUGCCUUUGAUACUGGGAAGCUCGAGGGAGGUAGGGGUGUGUGGAACUUCCGGUGGAGCGGUGAAAUGCGUUGAUAUCGGAAGGAACGCCGGUGGCGAAAGCGACGCACUGGACCUCUUCUGACGCUGAGGCGCGAAAGCCAGGGGAGCAAACGGGAUUAGAAACCCCUGUAGUCC
This 292-nucleotide ribosomal RNA is filed under the name uncultured bacterium. Its description in RNAcentral is "partial 16S ribosomal RNA". It matches the Rfam family "Bacterial small subunit ribosomal RNA", at positions 505 to 796 of the family's 1533-position model. The record is from RNAcentral.